GUGUCUGCCCUGCAGCAGGGGGCAGGGGUUCGGGAUGGAGCGGCAGAAGAGGAGGGGACUAUGGAGCUGGGACCAAAAUGCCUGUGGAAGGAGGACCUGGGCCAGGUAGAGGAGCUACAGGAGCUUCUGGAGAAGCAAAACUUUGAGUUGAGCCAGGCCCGAGAGCGACUGGUCACCCUGACAGCAACGGUGGCAGAACUUGAAGAGGACCUGGGCACAGCCCGCCGGGACCUUAUUAAGUCAGAGGAGCUGAGCAGCAAGCACCAGCGGGACCUCCAUGAGGUGAGCAGGGUCUCGCGCCUGUUCUCAGCUCCCUCAUCUUGCUGGUUGCAGGUGCUUGGCAUUCAAGAGGCUGUGGCAGAGGUGCAGACAAGAGCUGGGCGUGUAAGGCUGAGAACUCAGUGGAUCAGAGUGGGAGAAGCAACGGGAUGGUUGGGCCAUGGGCAGACACUGAGAGGGGAGCGUAGAUCACACCUGUCCAUGUUUUGGAAGGGGGGGCCAGGGAAAGGCCGGUGACCUCUCCUCUCCUCCGCUCUGCUCCCAUCUAGGCUCUGGCCCAGAAGGAGGACAUGGAGGAGCGAAUCACCACACUGGAGAAACGCUACCUGGCUGCUCAGCGCGAGGCCACCUCCAUCCACGACCUCAAUGACAAACUGGAGAAUGAACUGGCCAACAAGGAGUCGCUGCACCGUCAGUGCGAGGAGAAGGCCCGGCACCUCCAGGAGCUGCUGGAGGUGGCAGAGCAGAAGCUGCAGCAGACGAUGCGCAAGGCAGAGACGCUGCCGGAGGUGGAGGCUGAGCUGGCCCAGAGAAUCGCAGCCCUCACCAAGGCUGAGGAACGGCACGGAAACAUCGAGGAGCAUCUUCAGCAUCUGGAAGGGCAGCUGGAGGAGAAGAACCAGGAGCUGGCAAGGGUGAGGGCAGCAGGCUGGCCUCUCGGCAGCUCCGGGGGACCAGGCACCCAGGAUGGUUUGUUAAGGGGGUGGAGAGCAGAGGAAGAGCCUGGUAGGGAUCGAGCCACACGGGCAGGGGAGGCCUGCAGGGUGGGGGUUAAGAGGUGGCCGGGAGAUCUGGAGAAAGGCUCCAUGAGGACCAGAAUGGCACAGGCAAUGAGGGCAGAGCCCAGCGGAAUGGCUGGGUCCCCGGGAGGGCGGUGACAAAGCUCUGAGGAAGCUUGGUGCAAGUUGGGCUGGCUGUGCAGGUGCGUCAGCGGGAGAAGAUGAACGAGGACCAUAACAAGCGGCUGUCAGAUACCGUGGACCGGCUGCUUAGCGAGUCAAAUGAGCGCCUGCAGCUGCAUCUCAAAGA
RNAcentral lists this long non-coding RNA (1308 nucleotides) under Fukomys damarensis (Damara mole-rat). RNAcentral's name for it is "lncRNA (ENSFDAG00000032522.1)". The record is from RNAcentral. Lineage: Eukaryota; Metazoa; Chordata; Mammalia; Rodentia; Bathyergidae.